RNAcentral lists this ribosomal RNA (495 nucleotides) under uncultured bacterium. Its description in RNAcentral is "partial 16S ribosomal RNA". It matches the Rfam family "Bacterial small subunit ribosomal RNA", at positions 28 to 507 of the family's 1533-position model. The record is from RNAcentral.
GACGAACGCUGGCGGCGUGCCUAAUACAUGCAAGUAGAACGCUGAAGGAGGAGCUUGCUUCUCCGGAUGAGUUGCGAACGGGUGAGUAACGCGUAGGUAACCUGCCUGGUAGCGGGGGAUAACUAUUGGAAACGAUAGCUAAUACCGCAUAACAGUAGAUAUCGCAUGAUAUCUGCUUGAAAGGUGCAAUUGCAUCACUACCAGAUGGACCUGCGUUGUAUUAGCUAGUUGGUGAGGUAACGGCUCACCAAGGCGACGAUACAUAGCCGACCUGAGAGGGUGAUCGGCCACACUGGGACUGAGACACGGCCCAGACUCCUACGGGAGGCAGCAGUAGGGAAUCUUCGGCAAUGAACGGAAGUCUGACCGAGCAACGCCGCGUGAGUGAAGAAGGUUUUCGGAUCGUAAAGCUCUGUUGUAAGAGAAGAACGAGUGUGAGAGUGGAAAGUUCACACUGUGACGGUAUCUUACCAGAAAGGGACGGCUAACUACGUG